AGUGAACGCUGGCGGUAGGCCUAGCACAUGCAAGUCGAACGGCAGCACAGUAAGAGCUUGCUCUUACGGGUGGCGAGUGGCGGACGGGUGAGGAAUACAUCGGAAUCUACUUUUUCGUGGGGGAUAACGUAGGGAAACUUACGCUAAUACCGCAUACGACCUACGGGUGAAAGCAGGGGAUCUUCGGACCUUGCGCGAUCGAAUGAGCCGAUGUCGGAUUAGCUAGUUGGCGGGGUAAAGGCCCACCAAGGCGACGAUCCGUAGCUGGUCUGAGAGGAUGAUCAGCCACACUGGAACUGAGACACGGUCCAGACUCCUACGGGAGGCAGCAGUGGGGAAUAUUGGACAAUGGGCGCAAGCCUGAUCCAGCCAUACCGCGUGGGUGAAGAAGGCCUUCGGGUUGUAAAGCCCUUUUGUUGGGAAAGAAAAGCAGCAGGUUAAUACCCCGCUGUUCUGACGGUACCCAAAGAAUAAGCACCGGCUAACUUCGUG
RNAcentral lists this ribosomal RNA (492 nucleotides) under uncultured bacterium. RNAcentral describes it as "partial 16S ribosomal RNA". It matches the Rfam family "Bacterial small subunit ribosomal RNA", at positions 29 to 507 of the family's 1533-position model. The record is from RNAcentral.